Molecule: long non-coding RNA, 338 nt
Organism: Rosa rugosa (rugosa rose)
Lineage: Eukaryota; Viridiplantae; Streptophyta; Magnoliopsida; Rosales; Rosaceae
Exons: 3
Source: RefSeq, a predicted model, not a curated record
UCGCCGGAUUCUGGAAAUUUUCCGGCCACCUCGACUGUUUUAGGUGAUUGACGGAUCGAUUUGGCGGACAAUUUGUGAAAUUGUUGUUGAGCUGUUAAGAAGACGCAGCUGGAUUAGAGCGGGUAAUCCUACAGGUCAAGAGAAUCAGGACGGAGAUCGAGCUGCGUAGAGUAGCUGCAAUUGUGUCAAUCUGAAUUGCUUUGUGAGCCGGUGAGGUGUGUUAUGCUCAUUUAGAGCUUUACAAUAUUUCUUGUGAGAGUGAAUUGUAAUAAUGAACUCGAGGUUUCGAGAUUUGAAGUUUGUGUAUCGUGUGGUGAGGUUGUUUUGAGAAAAAAAUU